AUGUCCAACUGGCAGGUGUCAUCUGACCUUGACCUCAUUUUCAUGGUUCAGUGGUUAUAGUUAAGUUUUUGUGUUUUGGUCUGUGUUUCUUAUACUGUAUGCAAUAGGUCUACUAUAUUUGGUGUAUGGAAUGAUUGUAAGGUGUACAUGUCUAGCUGGCAGGUCUCAUUUGACCUUGACCUCAUUUUCAUGGUUCAGUGGUCAAAGUUAAGAUUUUGAGUUUUGGUCUUUUUUUCUAAUACUAUAUGCAAUAGGUCAACUAUAUUUGGUGUAUGGAAAUAUUUUAUGAUCUAUAUGUCAGUCGUGCAGGUUUUAUUUGACCUUGACCUCAUUUUCACAGUUCAUUGCUCAGUGUUAAGUUUUUGUGUUUUGGUCUGUUUUUCUUAAACUAUAAGCAAUAGGUCAACUAUAUUUGUUGUAUGGAAGAAUUGUUAGCUGUACAUGCCUGCCUGGCAUGGUUCAUCUGACCUUGACCUCAUUUUCAUGGUUCAUUGGUCAAUGUUUAGUUUUGUGUUUUGGUCUGUUUUUCAAAUACUAAUAGUAAUAGGUCAGCUAUAUUUGGUGAAUGGAAUAACUGUAAUGUGUACAUGCCUGUCUGGCAAGUACAAUCAGACCUUGACCCCAUUUUCAUGGUUCAUUGGUCAAUGUUAAGUUUUUGUGUUUUUGUCUGUUUUUUGGUCAAAAAUAGGUCACUCUGAAAUAAUUUUACCAUCAUGUUCCAUUGUAGUUCAGGUAGAGGAAGAAGAGUGCUUGAUGUGAUAAUUUUUUAUCAUUUUUACGACUUUGUGUCUCAAAGGAGCUGAAGAAAAUUGUUCAAUUAGAUGGCCUGUGCAUUAUUAAUUUCAAUGAACAAGCUAAAAAAUUCCAAAGACAAUAUAACUCUUGGCAUUUUUUUGUCAAUCUUUUUUUCACUGCUACAGAUUAGAUUAUGAAGGUUUGGUACAUUUGUUGAACAUUUUAUAGUAAUACAAUCAAAUUAUACAUUAAUUAGUUUUUUCUUCAGAGAAACAUAAAAAAAAACAAGAUACCUCCAUUUGAAAAGAAUCAAUAUAACAAGUGCUGUCAAUUGUUAUUUUUACUUUAUUAUGUUGAAGAAUGUAUGUAUUGUAUGCAUUUCAUUUUGUUUUUAGUGAACUAUUAACAAGUUCAUAUGAUCUGCUUUAAAUGUUAUAUUAUACAUGAAUGUUAUUUUCAAUGUAACAUUUUUACUGGCAUGUUAUUUUCAAUGUAACAUUUUUACUGGCAUGUUAUUUUCAAUGUAACAUUUUUACUGGCAUGUUAUUUUCAAUGUAACAUUUUUACUGGCAUGGUACUUCCAAUGUAACAUUUUACAUAAAAAUAACUUAAAAUGUAAUGUUAUACAUGUAUGUUACGUUCAAUGUAACAUUUUUACUUGCAUUUUACGUUAAAUAUAACUUUUUUACUUGCAUAUUACUUCAAAUGUAACAUUUUUACUGGCAUGUUACUUUCAAUGUAACAUUUUACAGCAGAGUGACAUGAAAUAUCAUAUUUUACUUGAAAGUAACUUUAUAUGUAACAUUUUUAAUUGCAUGUUACUUUCAAUGUAACAUUUUACAUCAAAGUGACUUAAAAUGUAAUAUUUUACAUGCAUGUUACUUUUUAAUGGCUUUGAAGUUUUGUAUUUUGCAUUUACAUAAGGACAUUUGAAAACUAGGGCCAUUUUAUAUUUCAUGUUGUAUAUGUAUGAAAGUUGUUAUGCAUUAAUUAAAAAUGAUAUACUUUGCACAA
Molecule: long non-coding RNA, 1749 nt
Organism: Mytilus californianus (California mussel)
Lineage: Eukaryota; Metazoa; Mollusca; Bivalvia; Mytilida; Mytilidae
Exons: 2
Source: RefSeq, a predicted model, not a curated record